RNAcentral lists this ribosomal RNA (407 nucleotides) under uncultured bacterium. Its description in RNAcentral is "partial 16S ribosomal RNA". It matches the Rfam family "Bacterial small subunit ribosomal RNA", at positions 28 to 526 of the family's 1533-position model. The record is from RNAcentral.
GACGAACGCUGGCGGCGUGCCUAAUACAUGCAAGUAGAACGCAGUUGCGAACGGGUGAGUAACGCGUAGGUACCUGCCUGGUAGCGGUGGAUUACUAUUGGAAACGCUAGCUAAUACCGCAUACUACCAGAUGGACCUGCGUUGUAUUAGCUAGUUGGUGGGGUAAAGGCUCACCAAGGAAACGAUACAUAGCCGACCUGGGAGGGGGAUCGGCCACAAUGGGACUGAGACACGGCCCAGAAUCCGACGGGAGGGAGCAGUAGGGAAUCUUCGGCAAUGGACGGAAGUCUGACCGAGCAAAGGCGCGUGAGUGAAGAAGGUUUUCGGAUCGUAAAGCUCUGUUGGAAGAGAAGCGGUAUCUUACCAGAAAGGGACGGCUAACUACGUGCCAGCAGCCGCGGUAAUUC